GUUGAGGGGCAUACCACCCUGAACGCGCCCAAUUUCGUCUGAUCUCAGAAGCUAAGCAGGGUCGGGCCUGGUUAGUACUUGGAUGGGAGAACACCUGAUUUUUGACAAGC
This is a ribosomal RNA of Mesocricetus auratus (golden hamster), 110 nucleotides long. Lineage: Eukaryota; Metazoa; Chordata; Mammalia; Rodentia; Cricetidae. The record is from Ensembl.